GUCUUAUUGAAAAUAAUUUUAAGUCUAAUCUGCCCAAUGAUAAUUUAAUGGCUGCAGUAUCAAUAACUGUACAAAGGUAGCAUAAUAAUUAGUUUUUUAAUUGAAAACUAGAAUGAAAGAUUAAAUGAAAUAUAAACUUUAUAAAUAAAAUAAAAAUUUAAAUUAAAUUUUAAGUUAAAAUUCUUAAAUAAUAUUAAAAGACGAGAAGACCCUUUAGAAUUUUAUAUUAAAUAUAAUUAAAUUUAUAAUAAUUUAAAUAUAAAUUACUUUUAAUAUUUAAUUGGGGUAAUUUUAUAAUUUAAUAAACUUUUAAAUAAAUAAUACAUAAAUUAAUGAAUUUAUAAACCUAAUUUUUAGAAUAUUAAAACAAAUUACCUUAGGGAUAACAGCGUAAUUUUUUUUGAAAGUUCACAUUUAUAAAAAAGAUUGCGACCUCGAUGUUGAAUUAAGAUUAAAUUAAAAGCAAAAAUUUAAUAAUUUAAGUCU
This 486-nucleotide ribosomal RNA is filed under the name Aphidius colemani. RNAcentral describes it as "partial 16S ribosomal RNA". The record is from RNAcentral. Lineage: Eukaryota; Metazoa; Arthropoda; Insecta; Hymenoptera; Braconidae.